RNAcentral lists this ribosomal RNA (466 nucleotides) under uncultured bacterium. RNAcentral's name for it is "bacterial SSU rRNA". It matches the Rfam family "Bacterial small subunit ribosomal RNA", at positions 331 to 795 of the family's 1533-position model. The record is from RNAcentral.
CCAGACUCCUACGGGAGGCAGCAGUGAGGAAUAUUGGUCAAUGGGCGGAAGCCUGAACCAGCCAAGUCGCGUGAGGGAAUAAGGCCCUACGGGUCGUAAACCUCUUUUGCCGGGGAGCAAGGGCCGGGACGCGUCCCGGCCCGGAGAGUACCCGGAGAAAAAGCAUCGGCUAACUCCGUGCCAGCAGCCGCGGUAAUACGGAGGAUGCGAGCGUUAUCCGGAUUUAUUGGGUUUAAAGGGUGCGUAGGCGGGCUUUUAAGUCAGCGGUAAAAAUUCGGGGCUCAACCCCGUCCGGCCGUUGAAACUGGGGGCCUUGAGUGGGCGAGAAGAAGGCGGAAUGCGUGGUGUAGCGGUGAAAUGCUUAGAUAUCACGAAGAACUCCGAUUGCGAAGGCAGCAUACGGCAGCGCUACUGACGCUGAAGCUCGAAGGCGCGGGUAUCGAACAGGAUUAGAUACCCGAGUAUC